UACGUAGGGUGCAAGCGUUGUCCGGAAUUAUUGGGCGUAAAGAGCUCGUAGGCGGCUAGUCACGUCGGAUGUGAAAACCCGAGGCUCAACCUCGGGCCUGCAUUCGAUACGGGCUGGCUAGAGUACUGCAGGGGAGACUGGAAUUCCUGGUGUAGCGGUGAAAUGCGCAGAUAUCAGGAAGAACACCUAUGGCGAAGGCAGCACUCUGGGACGGUACUGACGCUGAGACGCGAAAGCGUGGGGAGCGAACAGG
Molecule: ribosomal RNA, 253 nt
Filed under: uncultured bacterium
Lineage: Bacteria
Description: partial 16S ribosomal RNA
Rfam family: Bacterial small subunit ribosomal RNA
Source: RNAcentral